UGUCCCAGCCGCCGCGGUAAUACGAAGGGCCCGAGCGUUGCGCGGAAUCAUUGGGCUUAAAGCGUACGUAGGCGGACGAGCAGGCACCUUGUGAAAGCCCUCGGCUCAACCGAGGAAUUGCUUGGUGAACCGCUCGUCUUGAGGCAAGUAGGGGCUGUCGGAACGAUAGGUGGAGCGGUGAAAUGCGUUGAUAUCUAUCGGAACGCCAAAGGUGAAGACAGGCAGCUGGGCUUGUUCUGACGCUGAGGUACGAAAGCGUGGGGAGCGAACGGGAUUAGAUACCCCGGUAGUCCACGCCGUAAACGAUGUGCACUAGAUCGAGGGGGUUCUGACGCCAUUCUCGGUCGAAGCAAAAGUGUUAAGUGCACCGCCUGGGGAGUACGGUCGCAAGGCUAAAACUCAAAGGAAUUGACGGGGGCUCACACAAGCGGUGGAGCAUGUGGCUUAAUUCGAAGCGACGCGAAGAACCUUAUCCUGGGUUGAACUAUGACGGAUUAGCUCCUGGAAACAGGAGUGACGCCUCCGGGUGGAACGUCGAUAGGUGCUGCAUGGCUGUCGUCAGCUCGUGCCGUGAGGUGUUAGGUUAAGUCCUUUAACGAGCGAAACCCCUGUCGCUAGUUGCCAGCGCGUCAUGGCGGGGACUCUAGCGAGACCGCCGGCGUCAAGUCGGAGGAAGGUGGGGAUGACGUCAAGUCCGCAUGGCCUUUAUGCCCAGGGCUGCACACGUGCUACAAUGGCGGGUACAGAGCGACGCAAUACCGCGAGGUGGAGCAAAUCGCGAAAACCCGCCCCAGUUCGGAUUGCAGGCUGCAAUUCGCCUGCAUGAAGUUGGAAUCGCUAGUAAUCGCGGAUCAGCUACGCCGCGGUGAAUACGUUCCUGAGCCUUGUACACACCGCCCGUCAAGUCAUGGAAGCUGGCAGCGCCUUAAGUCGCCACAAUUCAGUGGUGCCCACGGCGAAGCUGGUGACUGGGACUAAGUCGUAACAAGGUAAA
Molecule: ribosomal RNA, 994 nt
Filed under: uncultured bacterium
Lineage: Bacteria
Description: bacterial SSU rRNA
Rfam family: Bacterial small subunit ribosomal RNA
Source: RNAcentral